Alosa sapidissima (American shad) is the source of this 1914-nucleotide long non-coding RNA. RefSeq lists it as uncharacterized. The record is from RefSeq and is a predicted model, not a curated record. NCBI's taxonomy places the organism in Eukaryota, Metazoa, Chordata, Actinopteri, Clupeiformes, Clupeidae. The transcript has 3 exons.
AGCUCUCACCACUUUGUUUUAAUUUUGUAACUGUAAAAUGUUGUUUAAGUUGAAAACUUUGAUAUAACACCUCUAUUAUGUUACUUUACAUGUAUUGUUAAAGGGAAACUUGGCAGGAUUUCCCCCUCUGCUGGAGAAAUUGCACAUUAUGCUAUUUCAAACUGUGUGAAAAGGUGAGUCAAAGGCAAGGUGUGUGUGUGGAGUGAAAUCAUUAAGCUGGGGAACAAUACUGCUGGACAUGACAGGUAAGAUAUAGGUAGCUCUUCAUAGGUGAGGAAAGGUUGUGUGUGUGUGUGUGGAGUGAAAUCACUAAGCUGGGGAACAAUACUGAUGUAGAUGACAGGUAAGCAGUGUAUAUAGUUAACCAUCAGCACAUAACUUGUUUACAAGGAAAAAUAUGAGUAUCUAAAUUACAGAUGGCUUAGGCCUACUGCAGCUAGCCAAUGUUAAAAUCAAGUUUUGUAACAUUUGUACUUACCUUGUGUAGAAACGGAUGUCGUCAUCAGAUCCCGCGAAUCUAUGUAAUCCAAAAGUGGCCUGGAUUUUCAGUUCCCCCAUUUCUAUACUCAUCAACCUAAUUUGUUCUUUUAGCUGCAGGUUUUCAGUUGCUGUCAUGUCCAAAGCCAUAGGGUCUGGGACAGAAGAAUCGUGGGCCACCACUGCAGUGCACUCCAUAGGUUGUUCAUCAGAGGGCUCGUCAAAGGACUCCGGUCUGACAAUACGGUCCCACACACUGGCUCUCGGUGGGGGGAUUUUGAAGUUGUUCCAUUUGAACAACACAGGGACAACUCCCUUCUUCAAACGUCUUUUCCCACCUUCUGAUUUAGCCUCAGAUAUGUCCCCGGGGAGAAGGCUGCUGUGUGAAGUAAAAACAAACUGAUCCCACCCAAUUAGUAUUAGCCAUCGUCGCCUCAGAGUUUCGUCUCGUGGAAAAGCAUGAAAACUGAGUCCAGCGCUAUAUGUUGAAGACGCAGUGCACUCCGGAACACAACAGUGUUCGUGGUACUGCUUCUGUUGUUUUUGAAAAGCUAAUUUCUUGGCCUGCGGUCCUAUUAUUUCGCCUGUCUGCCAGAGUCCGCCAUUGUAAACAGAACGUACCGGAAGCUGGCAGAAGUAGCAUACCCGCAUCAUUUGACAUCGCAGCGAACGUUCUACUGACGUGCAUAGAGCCAAGAAAACUGUAAGAAGAGGGGAUAGAUUUAAAAUGCUGCUGCAGCGUGAAACUUUUUGGAUCUGGAAGUUUAACGCAAUAGAGAGAUAAGGAGAUAGUCUAUAGGCCCUUUUUGUAGAAAUGUCUAUUGUGUAGUCUACUGUGUUUGCUUUUUUUCUGAGUAACUGCAACUUCUAUGUGAUAUUUCCUCUCUAUAUGGACAUAUUUACCUCUUAUGAUAUAGUUGUGGGUGCCUGUACAAUCUGUUUUCUGUUUUUCUUUUUACAAUUGUGUUUGGCAUGUGAUUUCUCUCUAAGAUCUGUGAGAGGGGCGGGUCUUAGUAAUUGGUUGCAUCGGAUCUAAUUAAGCAAUUAACACCUGUGCUCUAUGCCUGCACUAAAACCAUUCAUUCCUGUGUUGUCUUACUAUGCCCUGACCCACACAGCAGUAGACUCCUAGGCGGAUCCGCCUUCAAGUCGCCAAACCCGCGUGACUGUCGCAUUCGUUUUGGUGCCGCACAGAGGAUCAGCUCCGCCUCCAGGCGGCCCCGUAAAUUCUACUGUCAAACAGGGGAUCCUGAGUGGACCCAUGUCGGAUCCGCUGGCGCGGACGCGCCUUUACUGUAACGGUUGAACAUGACUGUACACCAAGAGCCAAGAAGAGUCAUACUAGUGGAUAUUUUCUUUGCUGGGACACGGUUGCGCUGAACCCUCUUGAUGUCAACUUUUAUCGGCUGGAUUCUAGCAUCUAACGUUACGAUUGCC